This 207-nucleotide ribosomal RNA is filed under the name Nacobbus aberrans. RNAcentral's name for it is "partial 18S ribosomal RNA gene". It matches the Rfam family "Eukaryotic small subunit ribosomal RNA", at positions 1641 to 1831 of the family's 1831-position model. The record is from RNAcentral. Lineage: Eukaryota; Metazoa; Nematoda; Chromadorea; Rhabditida; Pratylenchidae.
UUGAUUACGUCCCUGCCCUUUGUACACACCGCCCGUCGCUGCCCGGGACUGAGCCAUUUCGAGAAACUUGGGGACUGCAGAUCCGGUGGCUUCGGCCUCCGCUUCGGUGGAAACCAAUUUAAUCGCAGUGGCUUGAACCGGGCAAAAGUCGUUACAAGGUAGCUGUAGGUGAACCUGCUGCUGGAUCAUUACACGUACCGUGAUGGU